Molecule: ribosomal RNA, 466 nt
Filed under: uncultured bacterium
Lineage: Bacteria
Description: partial 16S ribosomal RNA
Rfam family: Bacterial small subunit ribosomal RNA
Source: RNAcentral
GAUGAACGCUGGCGGCGCGCCUAGCACAUGCAAGUCGAACGAUUAAAGCACCUUCGGGUGUGUAUAAAGUGGCGAACGGCUGAGUAACACGUGGGCAACCUGCCCCUCUCAUUGGGAUAGCCACGGGAAACCGUGGAUAAUACCGAAUACUUCGGGACUUCCGCAUGGAAGACUCGAGAAAGCUCCGGCGGAGAGGGAUGGGCCCGCGGCCUGUUAGCUUGUUGGUGGGGUAAUGGCCUACCAAGGCAAUGAUGGGUAGCUGGGUUGAGAGACCGACCAGCCAGAUUGGGACUGAGACACGGCCCAGACUCCUACGGGAGGCAGCAGUGGGGAAUCUUGCACAAUGGGCGAAAGCCUGAUGCAGCGACGCCGCGUGCGGGAUGAAGGCCUUCGGGUUGUAAACCGCUUUCAGCAGGGACGAGGCGAAAGUGACGGUACCUGCAGAAGAAGCCCCGGCUAACUACGU